Molecule: ribosomal RNA, 253 nt
Filed under: uncultured bacterium
Lineage: Bacteria
Description: partial 16S ribosomal RNA
Rfam family: Bacterial small subunit ribosomal RNA
Source: RNAcentral
GACAGAGGGUGCAAACGUUGUUCGGAUUUACUGGGCGUAAAGGGCGCGUAGGCGGUGUGUCAAGUCAGGCGUGAAAGCCCCGGGCUCAACCUGGGAACCGCGCUUGAGACUGGCACGCUAGAGUUCGGGAGAGGAUGGUGGAACUCCCAGUGUAGAGGUGAAAUUCGUAGAUAUUGGGAAGAACACCGAUGGCGAAGGCAGCCAUCUGGACCGACACUGACGCUGAGGCGCGAAAGCGUGGGGAGCAAACAGG